UGAGGAAUUUUCUGCAAUGGGCGAAAGCCUGACAGAGCAAUACCGCGUGAGGGAUGAAGGCCUAUGGGUUGUAAACCUCUUUUCUCAAGGAGGAAGAUAUGACGUUACUUGAGGAAUAAGCAUCGGCUAACCCUGUGCCAGCAGCCGCGGUAAUACAGGUGAUGCAAGUGUUAUCCGGAAUUAUUGGGCGUAAAGCGUCUGCAGGUGGACUUUUAAGUCUUUUGUUAAACCUCUAGGCUUAACCUAGAAUCUGCAAAAGAAACUAUUUGUCUUGAGUAUGGUAGGGGUAAAGGGAAUUUCCAGUGGAAUGGUGAAAUAUUUUGAUAUUGGAAAGAACACCAACAGCGAAGGCACUUUACUGGGCCAGUACUGACACUGAGAGACGAAAGCUAGGGGAGCAAACGGG
This 406-nucleotide ribosomal RNA is filed under the name uncultured bacterium. RNAcentral describes it as "bacterial SSU rRNA". It matches the Rfam family "Bacterial small subunit ribosomal RNA", at positions 355 to 776 of the family's 1533-position model. The record is from RNAcentral.